CUGAAGAAGGAGGCCUUCCGGGUUAUGAUAUCCGGUGGGACUCCAGAGGCAGUUGCAGCGGAGCUGGAGGCGGAGGAGGGAUCAUCGUCAAUUGGCCUGGUGGAGGUCACUGAGGUAGUCAAACAACUCCGCAGUGGCAAAGCCCCGGGGAUUGAUGAGAUCCGUCCAGAGAUGCUAAAAGCAAUGGGUGUUGGGGGGUUGUCUUGGAUGACACGCCUCUUCAACAUUGCGUGGAAGUCUGGGACAGUGCCAAAAGAGUGGCAGAUCGGGGUGGUGGUACCCCUCUUCAAAAAGGGGGACCAGAGAGUGUGUGCCAAUUACAGGGGUAUCACACUACUCAGCCUCCCGGGUAAAGUCUACUCUAAGGUGCUGGAAAGGAGGGUUCGGCCGAGAGUCGAACCAAGGAUUGAAGAAGAACAAUGCGGUUUUCGUCCUGGUCGUGGAACAACGGACCAGCUCUUCACUCUUUCCAGGAUCAUAGAGGGGGCUUGGGAGUAUGCUCAUCCAGUCUACAUGUGUUUUGUGGACUUGGAGAAGGCGUAUGACCGAACUAGGUCACGGGUACAAGCGGCCGAAAUGGGUUUCCUCAGGAGAGUGGCUGGCGUCUCCCUUAGGGAUAGGGUGAGAAGCUCAGCCAUUCGCGAGGAGCUCGGAGUAGAGCCGCUGCUCCUUUGCGUCGAAAGGAGCCAGUUGAGGUGGUUUGGGCAUCUGGUGAGGAUGCCCCCUGGGCGCCUCCCCAGGGAGGUGUUUCAGGCACGGCCAGCUGGGAAGAGGCCCCGGGGAAGACCCAGGACUAGGUGGAGAGAUUAUAUCUCUGCACUGGCCUGGGAACGCCUUGGGAUCCCCCAGUCAGAGCUGGUAGAUGUGGCCCGGGAAAGGGAAGUUUGGGGUCCCCUGCUGGAGCUGUUGCCCCCGCGACCCGACCCCGGAUAAGCGGUUGAAGAUGGAUGGAUGGAUGGACG
Gasterosteus aculeatus aculeatus (three-spined stickleback) is the source of this 962-nucleotide long non-coding RNA. The record is from Ensembl. NCBI's taxonomy places the organism in Eukaryota, Metazoa, Chordata, Actinopteri, Perciformes, Gasterosteidae.